RNAcentral lists this transfer-messenger RNA (386 nucleotides) under Helicobacter pylori. It matches the Rfam family "transfer-messenger RNA". Rfam says of the family: Bacterial tmRNA, also known as 10Sa RNA or SsrA, is named for its dual tRNA and mRNA-like properties. Its role is to liberate the mRNA from a stalled ribosome. Lineage: Bacteria; Pseudomonadati; Campylobacterota; Epsilonproteobacteria; Campylobacterales; Helicobacteraceae. The record is from RNAcentral. RNAcentral also lists the same sequence under 1 other name.
GGGGCUGACUUGGAUUUCGACAGAUUUCUUGUCGCACAGAUAGCAUGCCAAGUGCUACUUGUAAAACAGCAACAAAAAUAACUGUAAACAACGCAGAUUACGCUCCAGCUUACGCUAAAGCUGCGUGAGUUAAUCUCCUUUUGGAGCUGGACUGAUUGAAAUUUCUAGCGUUUUAAUCACUCCAUAACCUUAAGCUAGACGCUUUUAAAAGGUGGUUCGCCUUUUAAACUAAGAAACAAGAACUCUUGAAACUACCUCAAGGUUUUAGAAAGUUGGACCAGAGCUAGUUUUAAGGCUAAAAAACUAACCAAUUUUCUAAGCAUUGUAGAAGUUUGUGUUUAGGACAAGAUUUUUGGACUGGGGUUCGAUUCCCCACAGCUCCACCA